ACAGCAUCUUAACAGGUCGUGGUCUCUGGGCAGUAGACCAGGAUUUGGUAGCUGGUGCUAAAAUCAAUUCUCUCCUGCAACACUCCCAUUAGCAGCUCCUGUGUUUCUUGGGACAAAAACCAGAGAGAUACAAAC
This is a small nucleolar RNA of Gambusia affinis (western mosquitofish), 135 nucleotides long. The record is from Ensembl. Lineage: Eukaryota; Metazoa; Chordata; Actinopteri; Cyprinodontiformes; Poeciliidae.